Long non-coding RNA from Phyllopteryx taeniolatus (common seadragon), 1032 nucleotides. RefSeq lists it as uncharacterized. Lineage: Eukaryota; Metazoa; Chordata; Actinopteri; Syngnathiformes; Syngnathidae. The transcript has 3 exons. The record is from RefSeq and is a predicted model, not a curated record.
AACAUCUUGAAGCGUUCGACAACAACACGGAAAAAGUUGCCAAUGGAGGCGGUGUGGACGGCGGUAGCGGAGCGGCAAUGGUGGGAUCCGUGCCUGGAGCAGGAACAAAUCAGCUAACAUCAGCAGGUUUCCUAAUGAAACGACUAAGGACGUUGUCCCGUUGCUUUUACUGGAAGAUCCUGUCUUGACUUGUCCAUCGCGGAAAUGAAGGAUUUGGCAUCCUGAUAGCUUAGUCCAUCAUCAUCCACGCCCUCGGCAGGCCCGAUUAGUCUCCGGGGCCCUUCCUGAUUGAACACCGUGAUGCCGCUUAUUCCGUUCAUGACACAAUAAACGUCCUGAUUCUGGCUAGACGGGACAAGACAGACGGAAAGUGACAAACAGUCGCCGUGCUCCGACCGCAUUGAUCAGUCAACGUCUAGUUUUAGCGUUCAGGUUUAUUUCUUCAGCUGUGCAGUCGGGAACCCGUUCUGGAACAGGAUGUCCCAGCAGUACGGAAUCAUGUCUUGUAUAUAUUUAAAGAAAAAAAAAAUCACGCUUCGUUGCAAUGUUGACACUCAAUGAAUCAAAGGUGCAGUCAAAGGCCCGUCCGACUGACGGCGUGCAUCUGGAUUUCUCGGCGCUCAGCAGCCAAUCAGUUUGGUUUCUUUUGGAUUCUUCCCAGUUUACUCCAGCGUCUGCACCACAAACGUCCCGCCGCCAUCCAACUUUGUGUCACGGUCCUCCUCCUUGGUCAGACUGAGGUAAUAAUGCACAGAGACGCCGUUUAACACUUUCUCUCACGCCCAAGGAUGAUAUUAGACCUGAGUGGAGGUGGUUACACCUAAAAUAGGGACAUGCUGAUGGUGAGAGGAUCAAGGUUCAGCCUCGAGACAUCAGCGAACCCUCAGGAGCAGUGUUGGGAAGAUGACUUUGAAGUGCACAACCUGGAAACCCCUCAAGCACCUGAAAGCCUUUGAGUCCAGCUUUCCCAUGUCCAUCAAGUUGUUCCCCAACUGCACAAGGACCAGCCCGCUGAGCCCCGAGCCUGCCAGA